UGAGGUUUAAUGUUUUCAUUUUAUAGUUUCAUGUGCAUAUUUUACUGUUUUAUUAAUUAUGGAUUGAAUGACCGGGAUAUUGAUGCUGUAUGUUGUCUGUUUGGCAUAAAUUAUUAUUUUGCGUGUUUGUGUGUGAUUGAUAAUGCUGACUGAGGGAAAAAGGAGAAUGAAAGAUUAUGUGAAUGGAAAUUGUAUAUUGUGUUCAGCCUGACUAGAUAUCCUGAGAGAUGGUGGACGGACCGGGUCCGUAGGGAACCCUACCGGGAUUGUGGUC
Molecule: long non-coding RNA, 274 nt
Filed under: Carica papaya (papaya)
Lineage: Eukaryota; Viridiplantae; Streptophyta; Magnoliopsida; Brassicales; Caricaceae
Description: long non-coding RNA (CPAP_LNC005655)
Source: RNAcentral